Molecule: ribosomal RNA, 325 nt
Filed under: uncultured eukaryote
Lineage: Eukaryota
Description: partial 18S ribosomal RNA
Rfam family: Eukaryotic small subunit ribosomal RNA
Source: RNAcentral
CCCUUAGAUGUUCUGGGCCGCACGCGCGCUACACUGAAGGGAUCAACGUGUUCUCCCUUUCCGAGAGGAACGGGUAACCCGCUGAACCCCCUUCGUGGUAGGGAUCGGGGCUUGCAAUUAUUCCCCGUGAACCAGGAAUUCCCAGUAAGCGCAAGUCAUAAGCUUGCGUUGAUUACGUCCCUGCCCUUUGUACACACCGCCCGUCGCUCCUACCGAUUGAGUGGUCCGGUGAGGCUUUGGGAUCUGAGCGGAAAGAGCGUUUCGCUGUUUCUGCUCGGAAAACUCAGUCGAACCUUAUCAUUUAGAGGAAGGAGAAGUCGUAACA